AGCGAACGCUGGCGGCAGGCUUAACACAUGCAAGUCGAGCGGGCAUCUUCGGGUGUCAGCGGCGGACGGGUGAGUAACGCGUGGGAACGUGCCUUCUGGUUCGGAAUAACUCAGGGAAACUUGGGCUAAUACCGGAUACGCCCUUUUGGGGAAAGGUUUACUGCCGGAAGAUCGGCCCGCGUCUGAUUAGCUAGUUGGUGGGGUAACGGCCUACCAAGGCGACGAUCAGUAGCUGGUCUGAGAGGAUGAUCAGCCACACUGGGACUGAGACACGGCACAGACUCCUACGGGAGGCAGCAGUGGGGAAUAUUGGACAAUGGGGGCAACCCUGAUCCAGCCAUGCCGCGUGAGUGAUGAAGGCCUUAGGGUUGUAAAGCUCUUUUAUCCGGGACGAUAAUGACGGUACCGGAGGAAUAAGCCCCGGCUAACUUCGUGCCAGCCGCCGCGGUAA
Molecule: ribosomal RNA, 451 nt
Filed under: uncultured bacterium
Lineage: Bacteria
Description: partial 16S ribosomal RNA
Rfam family: Bacterial small subunit ribosomal RNA
Source: RNAcentral